GAGGGUAUAGCUUAAGUGGUAGAGUGCAUGCUUAGCAUGCAUGAGGUCCUGGGUUCAAUCCCCAGUACCUCCU
This 73-nucleotide transfer RNA is filed under the name Camelus bactrianus (Bactrian camel). It matches the Rfam family "tRNA". Rfam says of the family: Transfer RNA (tRNA) molecules are approximately 80 nucleotides in length. Their secondary structure includes four short double-helical elements and three loops (D, anti-codon, and T loops). RNAcentral also lists the same sequence under 1 other name. Lineage: Eukaryota; Metazoa; Chordata; Mammalia; Artiodactyla; Camelidae. The record is from Rfam by way of RNAcentral.